UACGUAGGGUGCAAGCGUUGUCCGGAAUUAUUGGGCGUAAAGAGCUCGUAGGCGGCUUGUCACGUCGGAUGUGAAAGCCCGGGGCUUAACCCCGGGUCUGCAUUCGAUACGGGCAGGCUGGAGUGUGGUAGGGGAGAUCGGAAUUCCUGGUGUAGCGGUGAAAUGCGCAGAUAUCAGGAGGAACACCGGUGGCGAAGGCGGAUCUCUGGGCCAUUACUGACGCUGAGGAGCGAAAGCGUGGGGAGCGAACAGG
This 253-nucleotide ribosomal RNA is filed under the name uncultured bacterium. RNAcentral's name for it is "partial 16S ribosomal RNA". It matches the Rfam family "Bacterial small subunit ribosomal RNA", at positions 524 to 776 of the family's 1533-position model. The record is from RNAcentral.